ACGGGUGAGGAACACGUAAGAAUCUACCCAGAAGAGGGGGAUAACCAAGGGAAACUUUGGCUAAUACCGCAUAAUCUCGAGAGAGAAAAGCUGCCCGCAAGGGUGGCGCUUUUGGAGGAGCUUGCGUCCGAUUAGCUAGUUGGUAGGGUAAAGGCCUACCAAGGCGAUGAUCGGUAACUGGUCUGAGAGGACGACCAGUCACACUGGGACUGAGACACGGCCCAGACUCCUACGGGAGGCAGCAGUGGGGAAUAUUGGACAAUGGGGGAAACCCUGAUCCAGCGAUGCCGCGUGAGUGAAGAAGGCCUUCGGGUCGUAAAGCUCUUUAGGUUGGGAAGAAGGUUGUGAGGGUAAUAUCCUUGCAAUUUGACGGUACCGACAGAAUAAGCACCGGCAAACUCUGUGCCAGCAGCCGCGGUAAUACAGAGGGUGCGAGCGUUAAUCGGAUUUACUGGGCGUAAAGGGUGCGUAGGCGGUUCUAUGAGUGUGAUGUGAAAGCCCUGGGCUCAACCUAGGAAGUGCAUCGCAAACGAUAGAACUGGAGUAUGUGAGAGGGUGGCGGAAUUUCCGGU
Molecule: ribosomal RNA, 572 nt
Filed under: uncultured bacterium
Lineage: Bacteria
Description: bacterial SSU rRNA
Rfam family: Bacterial small subunit ribosomal RNA
Source: RNAcentral